AGGGUCACACACAGGACCAAGCAGGAGCAGGAUGAUCUCAGCAUUUUGAUAUUUUACUACAAAUGGAGGAACUCGAAGAUGUUCAAUACUGUUUUCAAGACAGAAAUUCUUCUUGCAGAAAGGCUUUGCCAUUGACUACCAGCAAUGACGAUACAUGUGGUGUUGAUACAGAAUGAUUUGGUUGGAUUGGAAUGACUAGGAGAAGGAAUAAGAAGCCUGAAUUUGUCAGGAAAUGGACUCUACAAGAUGUCGAAAGUGUUCCACAGGGAUGCCGGCCCAUAUUGACUCCAAUCCUUUGUGCUGUGGGUGACUGACCAAUCUGGAUACACAGGAAAUUGCUGAGUGUGAAAAACACCGUUGCCCUUCUUGACACAAUCAAAGCCAAUUUCCCUGGCACCUAGUACCAUACCCCUUUCAAAGGCACUUAAAUAUGUUGUCUUGCCCAUUCACCCUGUGAAUGACACACAUAAAACAAUUAAGACAUGGAUUGUGUAAGGCUUAAAAAUCCUUCUUUUACCUGUCUCCUCACCUUCAUCUACAAUGAUUGAAUUGGAUUUAACAGGUGACAUCAAUAAGGGAUUGUUCCUUUCACCUGGAUUCACCUGAUCAGUCUAUGUCAUGUUCUGUACACUCAGUCUAUAUGUUGUUAAACAUUACCCUCUCGUGGCUCAUUUGGGACACAAUGCCUUAAACAAGUACAUUAAAGUUGAAAUGUGCAAUUCUUUAUGAUAUCAGAUAACAUCCAAGUCUAACUCAAUGGUGUAUUGUGUAAGUAGUUGUAAAAUGUAAUAAUAUGAAAUUGUGGGUAACACUUUAUAAUAAUGUUCAGCAUUAAACCAUUUGUAAUCAUUUACAGUUUGUUCACCGUUUACUCAUCAUUACUCCCAC
This is a long non-coding RNA of Oncorhynchus masou masou (cherry salmon), 888 nucleotides long. RefSeq lists it as uncharacterized. The record is from RefSeq and is a predicted model, not a curated record. NCBI's taxonomy places the organism in Eukaryota, Metazoa, Chordata, Actinopteri, Salmoniformes, Salmonidae. The transcript has 3 exons.